Molecule: transfer RNA, 78 nt
Filed under: Marmota monax (woodchuck)
Lineage: Eukaryota; Metazoa; Chordata; Mammalia; Rodentia; Sciuridae
Description: tRNA.Ser
Source: RNAcentral
UUUGGGGAUAUAGCUCAGCUGGUAGAGUGCUUGCCAUGAAUGCACAAAUCUCUGGGUUCAAUCCCCAGCACCACAAAA